UUUUUUCAACUUUGCAUUGAAAGAUAUUUCAAAUACUUGCCAUUUUUUAACUUUCUCUUGCCUUCUUUAUGAUCUUUCUCUCUUUUUUAAUAGAUAGGGAUGCAUUUCAAUUAUUUUUAACUCUUGUCUACCACCAUUUCUAGCCACCUCAGGUCAUCACAACGGCUCUUUUAGCAAUUCAAAUUUCAAUUUUUUACAAGAGGAAUCCUAACUUAAAUUUUCCUCAAUAAAUACUUGCAUUGAAAGAUAUUUUAGGAAAACAGCUCUGGACGCCAUCUUCUCCUCUCUAAAAAAACUUCAUUUUUUCCUAUUAGUUAUCUCCAGAAAGAAAAACUUUAACUUCAACACUUCUACUGUUGCUAUUUAGUAUUUACCAUAGCAGAAAUUUGGAUGCUUUAUUUAUUUUAGUAUAACCGGCCUUUGAGAGGAGAGAAGAGCUGAGCAGCCCUUCUAUCUCCCUUCACCUUAUCUUCUUCUUUGCUCGCUCAAAAUCCAGCUUUAAGUUUUCUCUACUUUUUGACCUCUAUUUAGUCCAUAUCCUUGCCAAAGUUUUUAUUUAUUUAUCGCGUCCGCAUUUGACUCUCUUCUGAAGUAGUUGAGCCAAAGUCGAAGAUCUUCUUGACGCCGCCCUCAGUUCGCUGCCCGCAAAAAGGUCAACAACCUCUUCUUUUUACUUUCGAUUCAAGUAUUAUUUAGUUGUAAUCCUUGCUUACAAAUGUCAACAUUGUAACUCGUUGAUUUGAAGAAAGAAAGGAAGAAGAAGAUGAACAGUGCGAGAGGAAA
Molecule: long non-coding RNA, 783 nt
Filed under: Nicotiana benthamiana
Lineage: Eukaryota; Viridiplantae; Streptophyta; Magnoliopsida; Solanales; Solanaceae
Description: long non-coding RNA (NBEN_LNC041499)
Source: RNAcentral